This 416-nucleotide ribosomal RNA is filed under the name Streptomyces sp. Its description in RNAcentral is "bacterial SSU rRNA". It matches the Rfam family "Bacterial small subunit ribosomal RNA", at positions 353 to 781 of the family's 1533-position model. The record is from RNAcentral. Lineage: Bacteria; Bacillati; Actinomycetota; Actinomycetes; Kitasatosporales; Streptomycetaceae.
GUGGGGGAAUAUUGCACAAUGGGCGCAAGCCUGAUGCAGCGACGCCGCGUGAGGGAUGACGGCCUUCGGGUUGUAAACCUCUUUCAGCAGGGAAGAAGCGUGAGUGACGGUACCUGCAGAAGAAGCGCCGGCUAACUACGUGCCAGCAGCCGCGGUAAUACGUAGGGCGCAAGCGUUGUCCGGAAUUAUUGGGCGUAAAGAGCUCGUAGGCGGCUUGUCGCGUCGGUUGUGAAAGCCCGGGGCUUAACCCCGGGUCUGCAGUCGAUACGGGCAGGCUAGAGUGUGGUAGGGGAGAUCGGAAUUCCUGGUGUAGCGGUGAAAUGCGCAGAUAUCAGGAGGAACACCGGUGGCGAAGGCGGAUCUCUGGGCCAUUACUGACGCUGAGGAGCGAAAGCGUGGGGAGCGAACAGGAUUAG